UACGGGGGGGGCAAGCGUUGUUCGGAAUUACUGGGCGUAAAGGGCUCGUAGGCGGCCAACUAAGUCAGACGUGAAAUCCCUCGGCUUAACCGGGGAACUGCAUCUGAUACUGGAUGGCUUGAGUUCGGGAGAGGGAUGCGGAAUUCCAGGUGUAGCGGUGAAAUGCGUAGAUAUCAGGAGGAACACCGGUGGCGAAGGCGGUUCUCUGGGCAUUACCUGACGCUGAGGAGCGAAAGCAUGGGGAGCGAACAGG
RNAcentral lists this ribosomal RNA (253 nucleotides) under uncultured bacterium. Its description in RNAcentral is "partial 16S ribosomal RNA". It matches the Rfam family "Bacterial small subunit ribosomal RNA", at positions 524 to 776 of the family's 1533-position model. The record is from RNAcentral.